RNAcentral lists this ribosomal RNA (923 nucleotides) under uncultured marine bacterium. Its description in RNAcentral is "bacterial SSU rRNA". It matches the Rfam family "Bacterial small subunit ribosomal RNA", at positions 60 to 1026 of the family's 1533-position model. The record is from RNAcentral.
AGUCGAACGCAGUAGCAAUACUGAGUGGCAGACGGGUGAGUAUAAUGUGGGAAUCUACCUUUUGGUUGGGAAUAACUUGGGGAAACUUAAGCUAAUACCGAAUAAGCCCUUACGGGGAAAGCUUUACGCGCCGAUAGAUGAGCCCGCACUUGAUUAGCUAGUUGGUGAGGUAAAGGCUCACCAAGGCAACGAUCAAUAGCUGUUCUUAGAGGAAGACCAGCCACAUUGGGACUGAGACACAGCCCAGACUCCUACGGGAGGCAGCAGUAAGGAAUCUUGCACAAUGGGGGAAACCCUGAUGCAGCGAUGCCGCGUGAGUGAAGAAGGCCCUUGGGUUGUAAAACUCUUUCGUCGGGGAAGAAAAUGACUGUACCCGAAUAAGAAGGUCCGGCUAACUUCGUGCCAGCAGCCGCGGUAAUACGAAGGGACCUAGCGUAGUUCGGAAUUACUGGGCUUAAAGAGCUCGUAGGUGGUUAAAAUAGUUGAUGGUGAAAUCCCAAGGCUCAACCUUGGAACUGCCAUCAAAACUUUUUAGCUAGAGUAUGACAGAGGAAAGUGGAAUUUCUAGUGUAGAGGUGAAAUUCGUAGAUAUUAGAAAGAACACCAAAAGCGAAGGCAACUUUCUGGGUCAUUACUGACACUGAGGAGCGAAAGCAUGGGUAGCGAAGAGGAUUAGAUACCCUCGUAGUCCAUGCCGUAAACGAUGUGUGCUAGACGUUGGAAAUUUAAUUUUCAGUGUCGCAGCGAAAGCAUUAAGCACACCGCCUGGGGAGUACGACCGCAAGGUUAAAACUCAAAUGAAUUGACGGGGACCCGCACAAGCAGUGGAGCAUGUGGUUUAAUUCGAAGAUACGCGCAGAACCUUACCAACACUUGACAUGUUCGUCGCGAGACCAAGAGAUUGGUUUCUUCAUUCAGUUGGA